CUGUUAUACUGCUUACUAGAUGUUUUUUUUUUGUGUACACGAUUGUCAAUUGUUAUUUUUUUUUUAUUACAGGUUCAAGAUGACAAUGAUGAGAACAAAAGUGCAAAAGAUAAGCCUUACAUGUACAUCGCAAUACGUGACUGCAGGAUGUAUGAACCGAAAACAUGGACAACAUGUGUUCAGGGCAACACAACUUUUUGAAAUGGAAUAAAGAUAACUUUCCAACCAGACGUUCCACAGUGUGAUCAUGGUGAUGUCAAACAGCAUGGUAAAAAUGAUUAAAAACAAUAUAGUAAGACUCAGCUUAAAGGUGAAAGGAGGAUCCAGUUUUUGACACCCACUUUUUCUUGCCUGUUUUUUCUGGACAGAAAGAAAACCCUCCAUUUAAAUAGAAUGCAGAAAGUGACUGUUAAAUUGUAAAAUUAACAGAACCUACAGAUGGAAACAUGUGUAAAGAAAAAACCUCAUGUAAUCUAUAAAGUAAUUCAACAUCUUGUAGCAGCCUCGUAGAGAUCGUUCCACAGAAGUUAAGGAUGACCAAAGGUGAACAGUUCUAGUUUUCAACAUGAACACAGACAUGUCACACAGAGAUUAAUCUAAACAAGUACAAUUUGAUUAAAAAGAAUUUGUGCUCAUAUACAUGUACGUUGUACAAUUUUGUACCUGUAUAGUGGAAAAAUUACAUGUGCAAUUUAUUACGAACAGAAGACCAACAUAAAAGGGCUAAAUGUUAUAGAUACAUUAUCUGUAAAUUUACAUUAUGUUCAUAAGAACAGCUGCAGUAUCAACAUUUGAACAGUAACAUCAUCCAUUAAAUUUUUGUCAAGCG
This 829-nucleotide long non-coding RNA is filed under the name Mytilus galloprovincialis (Mediterranean mussel). The record is from RNAcentral. Lineage: Eukaryota; Metazoa; Mollusca; Bivalvia; Mytilida; Mytilidae.